GAGAAAAGUUCAGAUUUUAGACGUCAUAGGGAGACUAAAGCAAGGCUCACAUGUAUACUUUGCUGAUGGUCUCGGAGGUGGUGCUCAUGAUGGGGGAGGUGCUGAUGGAGAUGUUGAGAGGCGGUGAUGAAGACAGGGAAACCAAGUGGUUAAAUGACUUCUUUGGAUGAGUUCAGAAGAGGCACCUGAGCCAAGGAUCCAAGUCAGGGACACUAGGCUUCUGCACCCAGCUGGGGCCGUUCAGACUGAUACAGAUGUGAAGAUGGCGGACUUUUCUGAGUGACUUAUCAGAAGGAUGGCGGGAUGGCUUUCAGCCAGCCGUUGAACUCACUCUGGAUGGUUGUCAAGGAUGAAAGUUCUAUUGGCAGAUCUCUCCCAUGAAAUGUGUGUGUCUGUGUUUUAUUUAUUUAUUUUUAACUUUUUCGCUCACCUGACUCCUCACUGGUUUGGUUGAUCUGUAUCAUGGCAUUUAUCUGCUUGUCUCUGGAGUGUUAGACCACGUAGGGGUAAAGAUGUGGGCACCAUGCCAGGACCCAAACUUGUGAGUGUGCCAGCCAAAACCAAUUUCUGACUCACCAGGAAAUGACGUGCUAGGAGCUCUUAAGAUGCCAGUGUAUUUUUCUAGGGCAAUGCCUUGACCAAAUGACCUUGCACAUCUGCCUCCUUCCCAUCUCCAUGUUCCCACCCUGUGGUCACUCCAUUAAUUGGGAUGAAUAAAAUAUCCUCUCAAGUUAAUCUCC
RNAcentral lists this long non-coding RNA (740 nucleotides) under Sus scrofa (pig). Its description in RNAcentral is "lncRNA (ENSSSCG00050039567.1)". Lineage: Eukaryota; Metazoa; Chordata; Mammalia; Artiodactyla; Suidae. The record is from RNAcentral.